UUUUUAUGUGGACCUCCGUUCUUGUGCCUCUGGUGCUUGGAUGGAACCACAUAAGCAGGUGAAACUUCUUAGAGGAACUGGCGCCCGAAAAGGCGCACGAGAAAGAGCAAUAACAGGUCUGUGAUGCCCUAAGAUGUCCGGGGCCGCACGCGUGCUACAAUGACGAUGCUACUGAGCAUGAUUAACUUGUCCGAAAGGAUUGGUGAAACUGUUCAAUCAUCGUCGUGACUGGGAUUGGGGUUUGCAAUUAUCCCCCAUGAACCAGGAAUUCCUAGUAAGCACAAGUCAUAAGCUUGUGCUGAUUACGUCCCUGCCCUUUGUACACACCGCCCGUCGCUACUACCGAUUGAAUGGUUUAGCAAGGACAUUGGAUUGAGCCCUUGCGGUUUCCGCUGCUUGGGUUUGAGAAGAUGUCCGAACUUGAUCAUUUAGAGGAAGUAAAAGUCGUAACAAGGUUUCCGUAGGUGAACCUGCGGAAGGAUCAUUA
Molecule: ribosomal RNA, 487 nt
Filed under: Dactylogyrus caballeroi
Lineage: Eukaryota; Metazoa; Platyhelminthes; Monogenea; Dactylogyridea; Dactylogyridae
Also listed under: 1 other name
Description: bacterial SSU rRNA
Rfam family: Eukaryotic small subunit ribosomal RNA
Source: RNAcentral